This 28-nucleotide ribosomal RNA is filed under the name Asterochloris friedlii. RNAcentral's name for it is "partial 26S ribosomal RNA". Lineage: Eukaryota; Viridiplantae; Chlorophyta; Trebouxiophyceae; Trebouxiales; Trebouxiaceae. The record is from RNAcentral.
UAGACCUGAGGUCAGGCAAGACCACCCG